AUUGAACGCUGGCGGCAGGCCUAACACAUGCAAGUCGAGCGGAUGAAGGGAGCUUGCUCCUGGAUUCAGCGGCGGACGGGUGAGUAAUGCCUAGGAAUCUGCCUGUUAGUGGGGGAUAACGUCCGGAAACGGGCGCUAAUACCGCAUACGUCCUGAGUGAGAAAGUGGGGGAUCUUCGGACCUCACGCUAUCAGAUGAGCCUAGGUCGGAUUAGCUAGUUGGUGGGGUAAAGGCCUACCAAGGCGACGAUCCGUAACUGGUCUGAGAGGAUGAUCAGUCACACUGGAACUGAGACACGGUCCAGACUCCUACGGGAGGCAGCAGUGGGGAAUAUUGGACAAUGGGCGAAAGCCUGAUCCAGCCAUGCCGCGUGUGUGAAGAAGGUCUUCGGAUUGUAAAGCACUUUAAGUUGGGAGGAAGGGAAGUAAGUUAAUACCUUGCUGUUUUGACGUUACCAACAGAAUAAGCACCGGCUAACUUCGUG
This 484-nucleotide ribosomal RNA is filed under the name uncultured bacterium. RNAcentral's name for it is "partial 16S ribosomal RNA". It matches the Rfam family "Bacterial small subunit ribosomal RNA", at positions 30 to 507 of the family's 1533-position model. The record is from RNAcentral.